AUGCCAAAUCUGCUCAAAACCAAUAGGAAUACGUCAAAAUAGGCUAAUGGAACAUAACCCAAACGAAAUAUCUCGAAAUACACCCAAAAACACGAAGUUGGAUAAACCCGAGCCCCGAGCCCACUUCUCGAAAAAUUACGAAACUUACAUUUUCAGAAUCCUCGUCUUGCCACAAGUCCGUACAUAUAAACUUCAUCAAAAUCGGAGUCCAAAUGCUCCUCCAAAUCACCAAUUUUCAUUUGAAACUUCAAGCCCUAGUUCUUCAAUUUUUAUGCC
RNAcentral lists this long non-coding RNA (276 nucleotides) under Nicotiana benthamiana. RNAcentral's name for it is "long non-coding RNA (NBEN_LNC001555)". Lineage: Eukaryota; Viridiplantae; Streptophyta; Magnoliopsida; Solanales; Solanaceae. The record is from RNAcentral.